AUUGAACGCUGGCGGCACGCCUAACACAUGCAAGUCGAGCGGCAGCGCGAUAUGUAGCAAUACAUAUUGGCGGCGAGCGGCGGACGGGUGAGGAACACGUAGGAACCUACCCUCGAGUGGGGGAUAACCAAGGGAAACUUUGGCUAAUACCGCAUGAUUUCGAGAGAGCAAAGCUACCGCAAGGUGGCGCUCGAGGAGGGGCCUGCGUCCGAUUAGCUAGUUGGUGAGGUAAGAGCUCACCAAGGCGAUGAUCGGUAACUGGUCUGAGAGGACGACCAGUCACACUGGGACUGAGAUACGGCCCAGACUCCUACGGGAGGCAGCAGUGGGGAAUACUGGACAAUGGGGGCAACCCUGAUCCAGCGAUGCCGCGUGAGUGAAGAAGGCCUUCGGGUCGUAAAGCUCUUUAGGUUGGGAAGAAGAGUGAUGGAGAAAAUGCUAUCACAUUGACGGUACCGACAGAAUAAGCACCGGCAAACUCUGUGCCAGCCGCCGCGGUAA
Molecule: ribosomal RNA, 501 nt
Filed under: uncultured bacterium
Lineage: Bacteria
Description: partial 16S ribosomal RNA
Rfam family: Bacterial small subunit ribosomal RNA
Source: RNAcentral